This 447-nucleotide ribosomal RNA is filed under the name uncultured marine bacterium. RNAcentral describes it as "bacterial SSU rRNA". It matches the Rfam family "Bacterial small subunit ribosomal RNA", at positions 360 to 804 of the family's 1533-position model. The record is from RNAcentral.
AAUAUUGGACAAUGGAGGCAACUCUGAUCCAGCCAUCCCGCGUGAAGGAUGACGGCCCUAUGGGUUGUAAACUUCUUUUGUAUGGGAAGAAUGGCAUGCAUUUAUGCGUGUUUGACGGUACCAUAAGAAUAAGCACCGGCUAACUCCGUGCCAGCAGCCGCGGUAAUGCGGAGGGUGCAAGCGUUAUCCGGAAUCACUGGGUUUAAAGGGUGCGUAGGCGGCAUUAUAAGUCAGAGGUGAAAGCUUGCAGCUUAACUGUGAAAUUGCCUUUGAUACUGUAGUGCUUGAAUUAGGCUGAGGUUAGCGGAAUGUGACAUGUAGCGGUGAAAUGCAUAGAUAUGUCAUAGAACACCAAUUGCGAAGGCAGCUAACUAGUCCUAUAUUGACGCUGAGGCACGAAAGCGUGGGGAGCGAACAGGAUUAGAUACCCUGGUAGUCCACGCCCUA